CUUUCUGUCACUGUGGGAGGGACCUGACAGGUCUACAACAUUUCCACAUUCUUCACAUUCAUCUGGUGUUUAGGAUACCAGUUUGCCCUAGGCUUAGGACUCUGGGCCUUGCUAUGGCAAAAUUAAACACUGAUGCACGCACAGGAGGUAGCUAGCAGACCGCACAUGUUCUGUCCACCCCCCUGUGAGGCCCUCCAUGCAGAGCAUGGCCCAUAGGCAAGAUGGUGGCCUUGCACAUUUGAAUACAGUUGAUGAUCAGCUCUUCUAUGUACAGUCAGUGUGGCACUGACCUACGUCUGGAAAACAAAUACACGUUGAACAUUGUCUUCCUGCUACCUUUGUUGGAUCCUGAAAUGAAGCUCAACUAUUGUUUGUGUACCUCAGACUGCAGUUUAAGGUGCGUGUUCAUUUUGGAUGGUAGAGAGUAUUUAAAAAUACAACUUUGCUAAGCCUUCCAAAGGUUUCUGUUACAUCAGUAUAAAAAAUGAAGUUCUGCUUGCUAAAAGCUUGCUUCCUCUAAGAUAACUACCCAUACAUUGCCUAGCUCAGAUAAAAUACCCUCAUUGUAGCUCAAAGCUAUUACUAUAUUAGAAGUGGACUUCCUAUCUGAGUCUUGCAUGAAAGGGCUAGUAACAUCAAAAUAGUUGUAACUGAAUGAGCAGCAGCUGGGCUAUACAUUGGUUGCUUCUUCAGAGAUGGCUUUUUAAAAUUUCUCCUUUAAAU
RNAcentral lists this long non-coding RNA (723 nucleotides) under Coturnix japonica (Japanese quail). RNAcentral's name for it is "lncRNA (ENSCJPG00005017618.1)". The record is from RNAcentral. Lineage: Eukaryota; Metazoa; Chordata; Aves; Galliformes; Phasianidae.